GGGGUAACCUGCGGAGGGAUCAUUGCUGGAACGCGCCCCAGGCGCACCCAGAAACCCUUUGUGAACUUAUACCUUACUGUUGCCUCGGCGCAUGCCGGCCCCCCUGGGGGCCCCUCUCCUGGAGGAGCAGGCACGCCGGCGGCCAACCCAACUCUUGUUUUUACACUGAAACUCUGAGAAUAAAACAUAAAUGAAUCAAAACUUUCAACAACGGAUCUCUUGGUUCUGGCAUCGAUGAAGAACGCAGCGAAAUGCGAUAAGUAAUGUGAAUUGCAGAAUUCAGUGAAUCAUCGAAUCUUUGAACGCACAUUGCGCCCUCUGGUAUUCCGGAGGGCAUGCCUGUUCGAGCGUCAUUUCAACCCUCAAGCCUGGCUUGGUGAUGGGGCACUGCUUUUACCCAAAAGCAGGCCCUGAAAUUCAGUGGCGAGCUCGCCAGGACCCCGAGCGCAGUAGUUAAACCCUCGCUCUGGAAGGCCCUGGCGGUGCCCUGCCGUUAAACCCCCAACUUCUGAAAAUUUGACCUCGAUCAGUAGGAUUUCCCAGGUAAUU
RNAcentral lists this ribosomal RNA (549 nucleotides) under fungal sp. RNAcentral describes it as "eukaryotic LSU rRNA". The stretch from base 200 to 353 matches the Rfam family "5.8S ribosomal RNA". The record is from RNAcentral. Lineage: Eukaryota; Fungi.